This 252-nucleotide ribosomal RNA is filed under the name uncultured bacterium. Its description in RNAcentral is "partial 16S ribosomal RNA". It matches the Rfam family "Bacterial small subunit ribosomal RNA", at positions 524 to 776 of the family's 1533-position model. The record is from RNAcentral.
UACGUAGGGGGCAAGCGUUGUCCGGAAUUAUUGGGCGUAAAGCGCGCGCAGGCGGUCAUUUAAGUCUGGUGUUUAAGCCCGGGGCUCAACCCCGGUUCGCAUCGGAAACUGGAUGACUUGAGUGUAGGAGAGGAAAGUGGAAUUCCACGUGUAGCGGUGAAAUGCGUAGAGAUGUGGAGGAACACCAGUGGCGAAGGCGGCUUCCUGGCCUGUUCUUGACGCUGAGGCGCGAAAGCUAGGGGAGCAAACGGG